RNAcentral lists this unclassified non-coding RNA (263 nucleotides) under plant metagenome. Its description in RNAcentral is "partial contains small subunit ribosomal RNA, internal transcribed spacer 1, and 5.8S ribosomal RNA". The record is from RNAcentral.
UUUCCGUAGGCGAACCUGCGGAAGGAUCAUUAUUGUAUAACCGAGGUGCGAGGCCUGUCGCUGACCCGAAAGGUCGUGCACUCCGGAGUGCCCUCAAACACCUCCAUCUCACCCCGAUGUGCACCACCGCGUGGGUCCCCCUUUGGCUUGUUCGGAGGGGGGCUUACGUUUUCACACAAACUUUGUAUGCAGUAUAGAAUGUAUUUUUUGUUUUUGCGAUCACGCAAUAAAUACAACUUUCAACAACGGAUCUCUUGGCUCUC